This 2039-nucleotide long non-coding RNA is filed under the name Gallus gallus (chicken). The record is from RNAcentral. Lineage: Eukaryota; Metazoa; Chordata; Aves; Galliformes; Phasianidae.
CCACCCUGGGGCCAUUAACACAUCCCAGACAGCAUGGGGAGCAACCCAGCCGGGACCACGAGCAUCACCCCAUGGCAGCACUCGGGGUUUCUCCCCCAGCCCUGCACCCAUAGGGGCUCCGUGCUCUGGGUGCCCCGUGCUUCCCACGCAGGGAUGUGCCACACUGCAGCGCCCGACACCGCCUUCGCCCCCGGCCCUUUGCGCAACACUGGGGCUGUGGCACAGAGCGGGAUCAGCGCACGCAAGCAGGGCCAGGAGGGAUGGGGACAGCGGUGGGGGUCGGAGCUUUAUUAGAAACAGGAGAGGGGAGGGGGAGGUGGGGGGUGAGGAGACGUUCCCAAGGGUCGGAGCUGCACGGCACCGCCGGACUGGAGCUGUUGAGUGUUUCUGUUCCAUUCAAAUAUUCACAAAUAAAUACUGGGGAGGGAGCAGAGCAAGCAGAGCUGCAGGGCAGGGCGAGGGUGCAGCACCGGGUGUGAGGUCAAAGUGAACCAAAAACAGUUAUAAAAAAAACCAAACAACAACAAAAAAAAAAAACCAAAAACCCCAAAACUUAAAACCUAAAGGAUGGGGUGCUCCCCAAAGCCCUGCUGCUCAGUGCACCCCCACAGCCACAGGAAGGGGGGGGGGACGACACGGGGCAGGUAGAGGGGGGCAGGGGACACAGGGCCAUGAGAAAGGCGUGGGGUGGGGCGGGGGGGGGGGGCUGGAGCCGUUGUGCGGCGAUCGUUGGUGGUGUCACUCCCGGAUGUACACUCUGGUGCAGACAACAUCAUCGGCUGUCAUGGUCAGGAUGAGCUCCCCAUCGUUGGUCAGCUCUCGGGACCAGCCCGUCCGGGGCCCCUCGCCCUUCAGCAGCCGCUGCUCACACACCAUCUUGUUCUCACUCUCCCACUUGGCCAAGCUCUUGCAGGGCCGCCCGUCCACCGUUUGCUCCUCGAACUCCUCCCCGAUCCUGAAGCUGAUCUCAGUGGUGCGCACGGUGGUUGAGGUCUUGAUGUAGAAGCUCUCACCGUCCUGCUUGAUCUCCACUGCUGGCUUCGAGGCUGCAGCCACCGCGAUCUUCCGCAGCAUCAUAUUAACGCCCAACGCCUUCAGCAGCUCUUCGAAGUUUUCGGAGCUCUUCAUCUUCCAAUUGCCGGAGAAAUUGGGCAUCGCGGCGAGCCGGGGGCACCGGGGAAAGGGGGAUGGAGCUUGGGAGGAGCAGGUGGUGGAAACGCACAGAGGGGCACCGGCACCGCCGCUCCGUCCGCUCCGCCGGUACCGGCACCGCCGCUCUCCCGCCCCGCAGCCGCUCAGUCGGGCUCCGGCCCCGCGCCGCCGUUUUAUGGCCGGGCUCACCCGCUCCGCCCCCGCCCCGGCCCCGCUGCCGGCGGAGCCCCGCGCUCCUCUCACCUGUGAGGCCGAGCACCGGGACAGCCCUACAGCGUUGCCGAUGCUCCGCGGGCUGCAGCACGGGAAGCAUGGGGAAAGGAACAAACCCCACGCUGCGCCCACCCAUGCACCCCCCAGGCAGAGCUGGAGGGGUCUGACAGGGGGUCACCCCCAUCCCUUUCAUUCCCGUGUAACAGGAUCUAUGCCCCCUCCGGCACAGGGGGAUGAGUGAUGCUCAACGUUUACCCCCAUAUUUGGAGAAAAGAGUGAAAAAAAUGCCACAUUUCCAGGAGAACCGGCUGGAGGGGAGCAUGGGUGGGGUGCAGGCAAAGCUGCAGACCCUCACACUGAGCCCCCAGGACGCAGCCUGGCAGAACCUUCAGGCAGCCCCACAUCUGGAAGGAAUUGCAUGGGGAAGGGUGGAUAAACCCUUUCUGUUCCCCCCUUCCUGGCCAACGAAGCCGUGGCUCUGGCUGCAAACCCGCGUGGGGCCGCUCGUCCCAGGAUGGCUGUGCACGGAGAUGGGGAUUACACUGGAGCCACGGAGCUCCCACACCCGGCUGCACAGCUGGAUCAGCCACUGGAAACAGCUGGCACUGCAAUGCACCCCAGCAAUCCCAGCAAACCUCAGCCAUCUGAGCACCACUGCAGCCCCCCAGUGCCCC